AGAGUGAACGCUGGCGGUAGGCCUAACACAUGCAAGUCGAACGGCAGCACAGGAGAGCUUGCUCUCUGGGUGGCGAGUGGCGGACGGGUGAGGAAUACAUCGGAAUCUACCUUUUCGUGGGGGAUAACGUAGGGAAACUUACGCUAAUACCGCAUAAGACCUUCGGGUGAAAGCCGGGGACCUUCGGGCCUGGCGCGGAUAGAUGAGCCGAUGUCGGAUUAGCUUGUUGGCGGGAUAAAAGCCCACCAAGGCGACGAUCCGUAGCUGGUCUGAGAGGAUGAUCAGCCACACUGGAACUGAGACACGGUCCAGACUCCUACGGGAGGCAGCAGUGGGAAUAUGGACAAUGGGCGCAAGCCUGAUCCAGCCAUACCGCGUGGGUGAAGAAGGCCUUCGGUGUAAAGCCUUUUGUGGAGGAAGGUUGUAACCUAUACGUUGCUAACUCGACGUUAACCGACAGAAUAAGCGACCGGCUAACUUCG
RNAcentral lists this ribosomal RNA (482 nucleotides) under uncultured soil bacterium. RNAcentral's name for it is "bacterial SSU rRNA". It matches the Rfam family "Bacterial small subunit ribosomal RNA", at positions 26 to 505 of the family's 1533-position model. The record is from RNAcentral.